This 608-nucleotide ribosomal RNA is filed under the name uncultured bacterium. Its description in RNAcentral is "bacterial SSU rRNA". It matches the Rfam family "Bacterial small subunit ribosomal RNA", at positions 28 to 727 of the family's 1533-position model. The record is from RNAcentral.
GAUGAACGCUAGCUACAGGCUUAACACAUGCAAGUCGAGGGACCGGCGCACGGGUGAGUAACGCGUAUCCAACCUGCCCAUCACUUGGGGAUAACCUUGCGAAAGUAAGACUAAUGCCCAAUGGUGAUGGAUGGGGAUGCGUCUGAUUAGCUUGUUGGCGGGGUAACGGCCCACCAAGGCGACGAUCAGUAGGGGUUCUGAGAGGAAGGUCCCCCACAUUGGAACUGAGACACGGUCCAAACUCCUACGGGAGGCAGCAGUGAGGAAUAUUGGUCAAUGGGCGAGAGCCUGAACCAGCCAAGUAGCGUGCAGGAUGACGGCCUAUGGGUUGUAAACUGCUUUUAUAGGGGAAUAUGUACCCUAUGAAUAAGGACCGGCUAAUUCCGUGCCAGCAGCCGCGGUAAUACGGAAGGUCCGGGCGUUAUCCGGAUUUAUUGGGUUUAAAGGGAGCGUAGGCCGGAGAUUAAGCGUGUUGUGAAAUGUAGAUGCUCAACAUCUGAACUGCAGCGCGAACUGGUUUCCUUGAGUACGCAUAAAGUGGGCGGAAUUCGUGGUGUAGCGGUGAAAUGCUUAGAUAUCACGAAGAACUCCGAUUGCGAAGGCAGCUC